GAUGAACGCUGGCGGCGUGCUUAAUACAUGCAAGUCGAGCGAACAGACGCGGCUCUUGCUCCUCUGUCGUUAGCGGCGGACGGGUGAGUCACACGUGGAUAACCUACCUAUCAGUCUGGGAUCAUUUCGGGAAACCGGCGCUUAUCCCGGAUAAUAUAUUGCUCCGUAUGGUUCAAUGGUGAAAGUCGGUUUUGGUGGCACUUCUCGCUGGUUCCGCGCCGCUUUAGCUGGUUGGGAAGGUAACGGGUUACGACGGCAAGGAGGCGUAGGCGACCGGACAGAGUGAUCGGCCACACGGGAGCGUAGACACGGACCAUACUCCUACGAGAGGCAGCAGUAGGGAAUCUGCCGCAAUGGGCGAAAGCCUGACGGAGCAACGCCGCGUGAGAGAUGAAGGUCUUCGGAUCGUAAAACUCUGUUAUUAGGGAAGAACAAAUGUGUAAGUAACUAUGCACGUCGUGACGGUACCGAAUCAGAAAGCCACGGCUAACUACGUG
This 497-nucleotide ribosomal RNA is filed under the name uncultured bacterium. RNAcentral describes it as "partial 16S ribosomal RNA". It matches the Rfam family "Bacterial small subunit ribosomal RNA", at positions 28 to 507 of the family's 1533-position model. The record is from RNAcentral.